AUGCCGGAAAACCAAAAGUCACCUAAAUCUCUUCCUCUUUCCCCUCAAAUCCGCACUCACCGAACCACUGCCUUCCACCCUUGCCGCCACCGCCAGAAACGGACGGUUCCCCUCUCUCCUUCCGCCGGAAACCAACGACUCCUUCUCCCUCAUUCAGCCGCAGAUUCGUGGCUUGCAUCGCCUCCCUCCGUUCAUGUAUUGUUCUACAGUCAAGCAUCUUCGAUCAACUUCAAGCUCCUCUUCACUUCAUUCGAUAAUAUUUCUAUAUUUGAUUCUUCUUAG
This is a non-coding RNA of Vicia faba (fava bean), 282 nucleotides long. The record is from the annotation of a GenBank genome assembly. NCBI's taxonomy places the organism in Eukaryota, Viridiplantae, Streptophyta, Magnoliopsida, Fabales, Fabaceae.